This 893-nucleotide ribosomal RNA is filed under the name Ragnhildiana diffusa. RNAcentral's name for it is "LSU rRNA". It matches the Rfam family "Eukaryotic large subunit ribosomal RNA", at positions 38 to 962 of the family's 3401-position model. The record is from RNAcentral. Lineage: Eukaryota; Fungi; Ascomycota; Dothideomycetes; Mycosphaerellales; Mycosphaerellaceae.
GCAUAUCAAUAAGCGGAGGAAAAGAAACCAACAGGGAUUGCCCUAGUAACGGCGAGUGAAGCGGCAACAGCUCAAAUUUGAAAUCUGGCGCAAGCCCGAGUUGUAAUUUGUAGAGGAUGCUUCUGGCCAGCGGCCGUUCUAAGUUCCUUGGAACAGGACGUCAUAGAGGGUGAGAAUCCCGUAUGUGACCGGCGCGCAGCCUGUACGUAGCUCCUUCGACGAGUCGAGUUGUUUGGGAAUGCAGCUCUAAAUGGGAGGUAAAUUUCUUCUAAAGCUAAAUACCGGCCAGAGACCGAUAGCGCACAAGUAGAGUGAUCGAAAGAUGAAAAGCACUUUGGAAAGAGAGUUAAAAAGCACGUGAAAUUGUUGAAAGGGAAGCGCUUGCAACCAGACUUCGUAGCGGUGUUCCGCCGGUCUUCUGACCGGUCUACUCAUCGUCGCGAGGCCAACAUCGUCUGGGACCGCUGGAUAAGACCUAAGGAAUGUAGCUUCCCUCGGGAAGUGUUAUAGCCUGUGGUGAUGCAGCGCGUCUCGGGCGAGGUCCGCGCUUCGGCAAGGAUGUUGGCGUAAUGGUUGUCAGCGGCCCGUCUUGAAACACGGACCAAGGAGUCUAACAUCUAUGCGAGUGUUCGGGUGUCAAACCCCUACGCGUAAUGAAAGUGAACGGAGGUGGGAAGCGCAAGCUGCACCAUCGACCGAUCCUGAUGUCCUCGGAUGGAUUUGAGUAAGAGCAUAGCUGUUGGGACCCGAAAGAUGGUGAACUAUGCCUGAAUAGGGUGAAGCCAGAGGAAACUCUGGUGGAGGCUCGCAGCGGUUCUGACGUGCAAAUCGAUCGUCAAAUUUGGGUAUAGGGGCGAAAGACUAAUCGAACCAUCUAGUAGCUGGUUCCUGCG